UCUCCGUUGGUGAACCAGCGGAGGGAUCAUUACUGAGUUUACAACUCCCAAAUCCAAAGUGAACGCUACCAAACUGUUGCCUCGGCGGAGUGACGCGCCGGGCGCGUCGCAGCCCCGGAACCAGGCGCCCGCCGGAGGAACCAACCAUAAUCUUUCUGUAGCCCCCUCGAGGACGUUAUUUCUUACAGCACUGAGCAUAAAUUCAAAAUGAAUAAAAGCUUUCAACAACGGAUCUCUUGGUUCUG
RNAcentral lists this unclassified non-coding RNA (245 nucleotides) under plant metagenome. Its description in RNAcentral is "partial contains small subunit ribosomal RNA, internal transcribed spacer 1, and 5.8S ribosomal RNA". The record is from RNAcentral.